This 1089-nucleotide ribosomal RNA is filed under the name Bacillus sp. 591B1_12EMannit. RNAcentral describes it as "bacterial SSU rRNA". It matches the Rfam family "Bacterial small subunit ribosomal RNA", at positions 56 to 1125 of the family's 1533-position model. The record is from RNAcentral. Lineage: Bacteria; Bacillati; Bacillota; Bacilli; Caryophanales; Bacillaceae.
UGCAGUCGAGCGGACAGAAGGGAGCUUGCUCCCGGAUGUUAGCGGCGGACGGGUGAGUAACACGUGGGUAACCUGCCUGUAAGACUGGGAUAACUCCGGGAAACCGGAGCUAAUACCGGAUAGUUCCUUGAACCGCAUGGUUCAAGGAUGAAAGACGGUUUCGGCUGUCACUUACAGAUGGACCCGCGGCGCAUUAGCUAGUUGGUGGGGUAAUGGCUCACCAAGGCGACGAUGCGUAGCCGACCUGAGAGGGUGAUCGGCCACACUGGGACUGAGACACGGCCCAGACUCCUACGGGAGGCAGCAGUAGGGAAUCUUCCGCAAUGGACGAAAGUCUGACGGAGCAACGCCGCGUGAGUGAUGAAGGUUUUCGGAUCGUAAAGCUCUGUUGUUAGGGAAGAACAAGUGCGAGAGUAACUGCUCGCACCUUGACGGUACCUAACCAGAAAGCCACGGCUAACUACGUGCCAGCAGCCGCGGUAAUACGUAGGUGGCAAGCGUUGUCCGGAAUUAUUGGGCGUAAAGGGCUCGCAGGCGGUUUCUUAAGUCUGAUGUGAAAGCCCCCGGCUCAACCGGGGAGGGUCAUUGGAAACUGGGAAACUUGAGUGCAGAAGAGGAGAGUGGAAUUCCACGUGUAGCGGUGAAAUGCGUAGAGAUGUGGAGGAACACCAGUGGCGAAGGCGACUCUCUGGUCUGUAACUGACGCUGAGGAGCGAAAGCGUGGGGAGCGAACAGGAUUAGAUACCCUGGUAGUCCACGCCGUAAACGAUGAGUGCUAAGUGUUAGGGGGUUUCCGCCCCUUAGUGCUGCAGCUAACGCAUUAAGCACUCCGCCUGGGGAGUACGGUCGCAAGACUGAAACUCAAAGGAAUUGACGGGGGCCCGCACAAGCGGUGGAGCAUGUGGUUUAAUUCGAAGCAACGCGAAGAACCUUACCAGGUCUUGACAUCCUCUGACAACCCUAGAAGAUAGGGCUUUCCCUUCGGGGACAGAGUGACAGGUGGUGCAUGGUUGUCGUCAGCUCGUGUCGUGAGAUGUUGGGUUAAGUCCCGCAACGAGGCCAACCCUUUGAUCUUAAGUUGCCAGCAUU